AAAGAAGGAAAUCUGUUUUGACCAGAGUCAAGGAAACACAGCAAAAAGGCAGAGGUGGGUGUUUGUUUGGCGGGGCUACUCUGAUGCUACUCGGAGCGAGAUGACAUGAUUUCGCUCUCCCUUUGGUGCGAGAUCGAAAAGCUUAUAUUCAAAUGAAAUAACCAGUUUUUACUUAAUUUGCAACUUGAAAUGGAUUACGAAAGGAUCCAAAAGCCUCUGGUACAUGGUGGCCGAUUUUCUCCAGGAAAAUUGAGGAGUAUGCUACUUGGAGUUGAAAAGAAGAGGAAAGAAGAUGAAGAGGAGGUUGAAUCUGGUUACUCCUUGAGAUCUCAAUCGUCUCAACUUGAUGAAAGUGGUGGUAGCAGUUCUGAUAAUUGCAAAGAUGUAGAUGUUGUUAGUGUACUUCCCAAAUCCUCCACUUCAACCAUAGCUGACUCCAUGAGUGCACAGAUGGUUGCUGAUCAUAGAUCUAAAGAUCACUCGUUGGCCAAUUCAAGGAUUAGGUCCCAUGAAGAUUCAUCUUUAGAUUAUGACAGUGGACAAGAUACUACAAGUGUGUCAUCCACAGCAUUUGAGUUUCAGAAGGCAGAGCGUGCCCCACAAAGAGUUUCCAUUGCACCAUUUACAAAGCCAUUGCCAUCCAAAUGGGAUGAUGCCCAGAAAUGGAUAGCAAGCCCCACUACAACCAGGAUUGGGCAGGCUCAGGUGCAGGGUGGACAAGGAGUUGGUUCACGAAAGAUGGGUAAUGUUGUCCAUAUAAGCAGGCAACCUUCCAAAAAGGUUGUUAUAGAAGUUCCAGAACAAAAAUUGGUUUCAUUUGAAGAACCAGAUACAAAAUGGGUUGAUAGCAUUCAAGCUAAGAAGGAAGCUGGGAUGCAGAAAUUUGUUAGUUGGGAGGCUGAUACAUAUCCAAUUGCAGAAUCAUAUGGCAAGCCUGUGCUCAUGAUUGAGAAUUCUGUCAGGGAGUUAGCAAUUAGCCUUAGCCAGCAUGAUUCAUCUCCGGCCAUGCAUAGUGCUACUGCAUUUAUUCCUCCUCCUUCAACAGCAAGGUCUGUAUCAAUGAGAGAUAUGGGUACAGAAAUGACUCCCAUUGCUAGCCAAGAGCCGUCUAGGAAUGGAACUCCAGUGAGGGCUACAACUCCAAUUCGUAGUCCAAGUUCUUCUAGGCCAUCAACUCCUGGCAGAGCUACACCAACUUCAUCUCCAACAAAUCCCUUGAACGACGCUCUCAAUACUAACAAUGAGUGGUCAGAAAAGGAACUGCAAAUGAAAACCAGGAGGGAAAUAAUGGCUUUGGGGACACAGCUAGGUAAAAUGAACAUUGCUGCCUGGGCCAGCAAGGAGGAGGAGGAUAAGGAUGCAUCCACGUCACUGAAAACUGUCCCAGCAGAACAACCAGCUAAAAGUGUGAUUGAAACACGUGCAGCAGCAUGGGAGGAGGCAGAGAAAGCCAAGUACAUGGCCAGGUUCAAACGUGAAGAAAUGAAGAUUGAAGCAUGGGAAAAUCAUCAGAAAGCAAAAACAGAGGCUGAGAUGAGAAAAAUUGAGGUGGAGGUUGAGAGGGUCAGGGGGCGGGCCCAAGAUAAGCUUAUGAACACACUAGCAGCAGCAAGACAUAGGGCUGAAGAGAAGAGAGCAGCAGCAGAAGCCAAGAGAAAUCGGCAAGCUGCAAAAACUGAGCGGCAAGCAGAAUACAUUCGAAGAACUGGUCGUAUACCUUCUUCAUUUUCCUUCUGUAGUUGGUGUUCUUGAAACGUCAAGCACUUGAGCAAUUUGAAUUGAGCAGGCUUGUCAAGUUAGCAGAUUGCUUUGUUUCUAACCCAUCACGUGAAUCGUAAACCUAUUCUAUGUAAAAGCUUUUUUUUUUUUUUGUUUUUUUUAUUUUUUUUAUUUUUU
This 1896-nucleotide unclassified non-coding RNA is filed under the name Hevea brasiliensis (rubber tree). Lineage: Eukaryota; Viridiplantae; Streptophyta; Magnoliopsida; Malpighiales; Euphorbiaceae. The record is from RNAcentral.